CAUGGCUCAGGAUGAACGCUAGCGGGAGGCCUAACACAUGCAAGCCGAGCGGGAUUUGUUGGUUAGCUUGCUAACUAACGAUGAGAGCGGCGUACGGGUGCGGAACAUGUGUGCAAUCUGCCCUUAUCAAGGGGAUAGCCCGGAGAAAUCCGGAUUAAUACCCUAUAACAUAUGGGAUGGCAUCAUUUCAUAUUAAAAGCUACGGCGGAUAAGGAUGAGCACGCACAAGAUUAGCUAGUUGGUAAGGUAACGGCUUACCAAGGCGACGAUCUUUAGGGGGCCUGAGAGGGUGAUCCCCCACACUGGGACUGAGACACGGCCCAGACUCCUACGG
Molecule: ribosomal RNA, 334 nt
Filed under: uncultured bacterium
Lineage: Bacteria
Description: bacterial SSU rRNA
Rfam family: Bacterial small subunit ribosomal RNA
Source: RNAcentral